This 254-nucleotide ribosomal RNA is filed under the name uncultured bacterium. RNAcentral's name for it is "partial 16S ribosomal RNA". It matches the Rfam family "Bacterial small subunit ribosomal RNA", at positions 524 to 776 of the family's 1533-position model. The record is from RNAcentral.
UACGUAGGGUGCAAGCGUUGUCCGGAAUUAUUGGGCGUAAAGAGCUCGUAGGCGGUUUGUCGCGUCUGCUGUGAAAACGCGGGGCUCAACUCCGCGCCUGCAGUGGGUACGGGCAGACUAGAGUGCAGUAGGGGAGACUGGAAUUCCUGGUGUAGCGGUGGAAUGCGCAGAUAUCAGGAGGAACACCGGUGGCGAAGGCGGGUCUCUGGGCUGUAACUGACGCUGAGGAGCGAAAGCGUGGGGGAGCAAACAGG